Molecule: long non-coding RNA, 809 nt
Filed under: Ananas comosus (pineapple)
Lineage: Eukaryota; Viridiplantae; Streptophyta; Magnoliopsida; Poales; Bromeliaceae
Description: long non-coding RNA (ACOM_LNC017631)
Source: RNAcentral
GAUAUGAACAAAGACCAAUGCACUAUCUAGAAAAUAUCCGAUUUACCCCUCUUAGAAGGCUAAUAUUAAAAAUACUCUUUCUACGUUCCAACCUAUUUCUAAUAUACCCGUAGAGUUAAAAUCUAUUAAUUAACUUUAUUAUUUCUGUAAAAUUACUAUUUUGUCGUUUCAAAUACACCCUUCCACCAUCACUGACUUUCUUAUUUGCCCUUAAAGUCAGAGGCACAAAAAGUAUUUUGACUUUUGGUCUUUUCCAAUAUACCCCUCUACCGUCACCAACAUUUUUUAUUUGCCCUUAAGUUAAGGGCAAAAUUGACAUUUUAAUUUUUUUUAACUGUGGUAGGUAUUUAACUCACAUUUAACCCAAAUUAACUUAACAGGAGAUAACUACGGGGGUAUUUUGCAAUAAUAGUGGAACAUAUGAGGGAUAUUUUAGAAAGAAAAAAAAAAAAGGAUGAAACGGAUAUUUUCAAAUGUAUGAGGGUAUAUAAGCAAUUAUCCCUAUAUAUAUAUAUAUAUAUAUAUAUAGAGAGAGAGAGAGAGAGAGUUGAGCUAGAAUACUAUCGAUAGCAAACGAGCUCCGUUGCCACCUCAAUGAUAGAGCCUUUAAAUCGACGAUCGGCACCGUUGAACAUGAUCUAUAACACUUGAAGUGUUUAGAAAUCAAAUUUCAAAUUUUUUCGACAUCAUUUGCCUAAUGAUCAAAGGGUUUCAAAAUUUGUAAUUUUAAUGGUUGAUAUGAGGCAUUUUCUCGUUUAACGGCGUAAAGAUAUUCAAAUUAAUUGAAUUUUUGUUAGAAAAUUCUUUAA